GACGAACGCUGGCGGCGUGCUUAACACAUGCAAGUCGAACGGAAAGGCCUUUUCGGAGGUACUCGAGUGGCGAACGGGUGAGUAACACGUGGGUGAUCUGCCCUGCACUCUGGGAUAAGCCUGGGAAACUGGGUCUAAUACCGGAUAGGACCGCACUUUAGUGUGUGUGGUGGAAAGUUUUUUCGGUGUAGGAUGAGCCCGCGGCCUAUCAGCUUGUUGGUGGGGUAAUGGCCUACCAAGGCGGCGACGGGUAGCCGGACUGAGAGGUUGGUCGGCCACAUUGGGACUAAGAUACGGCCCAGACUCCGACGGGAGGCAGCAGUGGGGAAUAUUGCACAAUGGGCGCAAGCCUGAUGCAGCGACGCCGCGUGGGGGAUGACGGCCUUCGGGUUGUAAACUCCUUCCGCCAGGGACGAAGCGUUUUGUGACGGUACCUGGAGAAGAAGCACCGGCUAACUACGUG
This 463-nucleotide ribosomal RNA is filed under the name uncultured bacterium. Its description in RNAcentral is "partial 16S ribosomal RNA". It matches the Rfam family "Bacterial small subunit ribosomal RNA", at positions 28 to 507 of the family's 1533-position model. The record is from RNAcentral.